RNAcentral lists this ribosomal RNA (253 nucleotides) under uncultured bacterium. RNAcentral's name for it is "partial 16S ribosomal RNA". It matches the Rfam family "Bacterial small subunit ribosomal RNA", at positions 524 to 776 of the family's 1533-position model. The record is from RNAcentral.
UACGGAGGGGGCGAGCGUUGUCCGGAUUUACUGGGCGUAAAGCGCGUGUAGGCGGCGAUUUAAGUUCGUGGUGAAAGGCGGGGGCUUAGCCCCCGAGCGGCCACGGAAACUGGAACGCUUGAGUGUCGGAGAGGGGAGUGGAAUUCUCGGUGUAGCGGUGAAAUGCGUAGAGAUCGAGAGGAACGCCCGUGGCGAAGGCGGCUCCCUGGCCGAACACUGACGCUGAGACGCGAAAGCGCGGGGAGCGAACGGG